RNAcentral lists this long non-coding RNA (1286 nucleotides) under Phasianus colchicus (ring-necked pheasant). RNAcentral describes it as "lncRNA (ENSPCLG00000004017.1)". The record is from RNAcentral. Lineage: Eukaryota; Metazoa; Chordata; Aves; Galliformes; Phasianidae.
GCUCUGCAUUCACAAGCGCUGCCUGGUGACUGCCCAGUCCUUGGCUCCCGGCCCCCGCUGCUGUGCCACCCCAUGCCCCCUGGAUGCAGCUGCAGGAUCCCGGUUCCCUCCUGGAGUAAGCUGUCGGCGCAGCUCUGGUGGUGAAGGCUGCUUUGGCUUCCUGCUGGGCCAGGACCGCCUGCGGCUGCACAGCACUCAUGCUAUCCUCCGAUGUGCCGCAUCAGCCGGUGUGUUGGAGGUCGGUGAAGAUGCUGGACUCGGCAUGGCACAAGCUGGACUUGCAGCAGUUCAAGGCCAGCCACUGGGGUGCGAGUGUGGUGGACCACCCCAGGGCUGGCACCCCGCAGCGCAGGGAUCCCAGUGACUGCGGGGCUCUGGCUCCCAUCGCUCCCCUGGACCCUGAAGGUUGCUGCUCUGCAGCUCCUGCGGUUCUUGUGAGACCCACAAGUGCUGCACUACCUUCAUAGAAGACACCAGUUUUUCGGAGAGCGGCAGCUGCAGUGCUGUGGGCGCUGGUGGGAAGGGCAACACGGCCACAGAGACGUGCGCCUGCACCCUUCUCCGUGCACCUCGCAGCCCCUUCAGUAUCACACCCAGCACGGGAAUCCCUGCUCAGCAACCCAGCAGCCGGCACCUCGGCUCCAGCGCAAGAGGCGGUGAAGCUCCAGGGACUAAGCCAGAGCCCAGCCGCCCGCACACGAUGCUCUUCGGGCUGUACGCAUGUCACUCCCCCCACAAGGCAGGGACGGGCACCCAGCCGGAUGGACACGGCCAUACCUGACUACAGCAGAUGGGGAGCAGAGCGGCCAAGACGGCUGCGGGGCCCUUCGUGGUGCUGCAGGACGUUGGCACGGUGAGCAGGGCUGGAGCUGGGUGGCUGCAGCAGGGCUCUGCUCUGCGCAGUGCUGAGCCCCUGCUGCGCUGCAGCUUUUGUCCCCCAGCUGCUGGGUGGGUGCAGGAUUUCAAAGAGCGAGUGCAUCAUACCAAGAAAAUCAAGUCAGGAUCCCCAAAUUUUGCUGAGCUGUGGAAGCCAGGGCUGGGGGUACAACGCCACAACUGCAACCCACAGCGUGGUCACCAAGAAGAAGAGGGAGAUACGAGCAGACCUGAAGCACUUCUGGGUGCAGGCACUCCUGCAGCUAUCCAGAGCAGAAAAGCUGCUCUCCCACCGCUGUGAAGGAAGUGAAAACACAGAGAUGGUGCAGAACACGUCAAAAUGUUUGUUGAGGACUCAGGAGCUCUGGUGCCUAAAUAAAUCUCUUGCACUAGGAAAUUAGGGAUUUUGU